This 21-nucleotide non-coding RNA is filed under the name Caenorhabditis elegans. The record is from RNAcentral. Lineage: Eukaryota; Metazoa; Nematoda; Chromadorea; Rhabditida; Rhabditidae.
UUAAUUUGCGGUACACGAAUU